Non-coding RNA from Pelobates cultripes (western spadefoot toad), 455 nucleotides. The record is from the annotation of a GenBank genome assembly. Lineage: Eukaryota; Metazoa; Chordata; Amphibia; Anura; Pelobatidae.
GUUUAUUUGUUUAGGUAGCACUUAAAUGGACACUAUAGGCACCCAGACCACUUCAUCUCAUUGAAGAGGUCUGAGUGCAGUGUUCCUGUCCCCCUUAGCCACAGUACAGUUUACUUAGAAUGAAGUGGACUGACUACACUGUGCCAGUUCUUACUGAUAACAUUUUUAAAAUGCCCUCCAGAAUAUCGAUGUUAUCACUGCUAGUCUAAUCAGUCAGUCCUCUCCAAAGUAACUGCACAUGGUAAAACAUUAAGCAAUCAGAGAAAUGGUGGAUUAGAAUGCAAUGAGGUAGGUAAGUGACAAGAUAUCCAUACUAAAUGCUACAUUUCUUUACCUGUAUACUUUCUCUUUUUGGUCAGCUGGUAUACACCUGUAAGUUCUUUUUUUAUCACCAUGUUUGUAUUGAUCCAUAUCUAGUACACCUAAUAACCAACCAUGAAGUAUUAGAUAGAGCA